CCUACGGGAGGCAGCAGUGAGGAAUAUUGGUCAAUGGGCGUAAGUCUGAACCAGCCAAGUAGCGUGAAGGAUGAAGGCCCUAUGGGUUGUAAACUUCUUUUAUAAGGGAAUAAAAUGAGGCACGUGUGCCGUUUUGUAUGUACCUUAUGAAUAAGGAUCGGCUAACUCCGUGCCAGCAGCCGCGGUAAUACGGAGGAUCCGAGCGUUAUCCGGAUUUAUUGGGUUUAAAGGGAGCGUAGGUGGCGUGUUAAGUCAGCUGUGAAAGUUUGCGGCUCAACCGUAGAAUUGCAGUUGAAACUGGCAGUCUUGAGUAUAGUUGAGGCAGGCGGAAUUCGUGGUGUAGCGGUGAAAUGCUUAGAUAUCACGAAGAACCCCGAUUGCGAAGGCAGCCUGCCAAGCCGUGACUGACGCUGAUGCACGAAAGUGUGGGGAUCAAACAGGAUUAGAUACCCCAGUAGUC
Molecule: ribosomal RNA, 460 nt
Filed under: uncultured bacterium
Lineage: Bacteria
Description: partial 16S ribosomal RNA
Rfam family: Bacterial small subunit ribosomal RNA
Source: RNAcentral